RNAcentral lists this ribosomal RNA (174 nucleotides) under uncultured bacterium. Its description in RNAcentral is "partial 16S ribosomal RNA". It matches the Rfam family "Bacterial small subunit ribosomal RNA", at positions 335 to 526 of the family's 1533-position model. The record is from RNAcentral.
ACUCCUACGGGAGGCAGCAGUGGGGAAUAUUGCGCAAUGGGGGAGACCCUGACGCAGCAACGCCGCGUGAAGGAAGAAGGUCUUCGGAUUGUAAACUUUUGUCUUCUGGGAAGAUAAUGACAGUACCAGGGGAGGAAGCCCCGGCUAACUACGUGCCAGCAGCCGCGGUAAUAC